RNAcentral lists this ribosomal RNA (242 nucleotides) under Clostridioides difficile. Its description in RNAcentral is "partial 23S ribosomal RNA". It matches the Rfam family "Bacterial large subunit ribosomal RNA", at positions 1373 to 1610 of the family's 2925-position model. Lineage: Bacteria; Bacillati; Bacillota; Clostridia; Peptostreptococcales; Peptostreptococcaceae. The record is from RNAcentral.
CCCUGGGUUAGUCGGGACCUAAGCUGAGGCCGAAAGGCGUAGGUGAUGGACAACAGGUUGAUAUUCCUGUACUACCGAUAACCGUUUGAGAGAAGGGAUGACACAGUAGGAUAAGCUAAGCACACGGUUGGUUAUGUGUGCCCAAGCAUUGAGGCAGUCAAAGUAGGCAAAUACGCUUUGAUAAUGCUGGGAUGUGAUGGGGAGCGAAAGUUAGUAGCGAAGUAGCUGAUUUCACACUGGCA